This 253-nucleotide ribosomal RNA is filed under the name uncultured bacterium. RNAcentral's name for it is "partial 16S ribosomal RNA". It matches the Rfam family "Bacterial small subunit ribosomal RNA", at positions 524 to 776 of the family's 1533-position model. The record is from RNAcentral.
UACGUAGGGUGCAGGCGUUAAUCGGAAUUACUGGGCGUAAAGCGUGCGCAGGCGGCUCCUUAAGUCAGAUGUGAAAGCCCCGGGCUUAACCUGGGAACUGCGUUUGAAACUGGGGAGCUAGAGUGUAGAAGAGGGGGGUGGAAUUCCAGGUGUAGCAGUGAAAUGCGUAGAGAUCAGGAGGAACACCGAUGGCGAAGGCAGCCCCCUGGGCUAACACUGACGCUCAUGCACGAAAGCGUGGGGAGCAAACAGG